RNAcentral lists this ribosomal RNA (405 nucleotides) under uncultured bacterium. RNAcentral describes it as "partial 16S ribosomal RNA". It matches the Rfam family "Bacterial small subunit ribosomal RNA", at positions 30 to 526 of the family's 1533-position model. The record is from RNAcentral.
AUUGAACGCUAGCGGGAUGCUUUACACAUGCAAGUCGAACGAGUAGCGGACGGGUCAGUAAUAUAUCGGAACGUGCCCAGUAGCGGGGGAUAACUAUUCGCAAGAGUGGCUAAUACCGCUUUCUAUUGGAUCGGCCGUUAUCGGAUUAGCUAGUUGGUGGGGUAAAGGCUUACCAAGGCAACGAUCCGUAGCUGGUUUGAGAGGACGACCAGCCACACUGGGACUGAGACCCGGCCCAGACUCCUACGGGAGGCAGCAGUGGGGAAUUAUGGACAAUGGGGGAAACCCUGAUCCAGCCAUCCCGCGUGUAUGAGAAGGCCUUCGGGUUGUAAAGUACUUUUUGCAGAGAAGCGGUAUCUGCAGAAUAAGCACCGGCUAAAUACGUGCCAGCAGCCGCGGUAAUAC